GUUGCAAAGCACUGCAAUAGUGAGAUGGACUGGUUUCUGAGGAAAGGUGAGAAAAGAAAACCAUUAACGCCAACUGUCACUCUUCCAACUGAAUAUUGAAACCACUAGGGAAAAAAUUUUGAGUGAGGUUAACAGUCAUAAGCAAUGUUGGUGUUUUUGAGGUUUGCCUGUGAAUCGCCAUUUAGCUGUACCACAUGCUUCCUAGAGAUGUAAUUAAUUGUCGUAUUGUAAAGCUUUCAAACGUGUUAAGUUGUGUGUUACACGGGGCUAACUUAUGGCAAGUUUUCCGUUUGUUUAGAUUAGUGGAUUUAUUUGGUGCAUUUUGGGUUAGUGGACAGAAGAUUCAGGAGACUGGAAUUUUUAUUCUACUUUCACAGUGAUGGUUUAUAAACUAAGUAUUUUAUCGUUAAGUCUUUGUAUAAAAUACACUGCAUGCAAGGGUGAUUUGGCUCGAAAUUUGUUACCCAUGGACUGCCAAGGUUCGUUUGGCUGAUUGACCGACUUGACCAACUAGAAAAGUAAUGCCUGCUUGCUUAGUACUUACGCUAUGCUGAUGAAAUGGUCUCCAGACCCUACGAACGUGUCUCCAACAGGAGCACAUCUGCUGCCUACAGAUGUCCAGGUUGUGUCCCAUACAAGGAAAUGGCAACUAAGACAGUGACAUUCACAUUGGAGACAUAUUUAGUAUGUUUCUGUAUUUUUAUUAUAACUUCCUUAGGUUUCAAAGAGAGGCUAUUUGUGUAUUUGUUAUAACAGUUCCCUAACUAAUCAAGUAAAAUAUCUUUUCAUAAUAGAGUACAUACAUACCGUUUUGCUUUGACUCACAAAGAAAGAACAAGUUUAACAAACAAAAGACUCUCUUGAUGUAACAAUUAACAAGGCUUCUACUACUGGAAGCUGCUUUUCACAAAUUUCACGAGCUCAUCAGAAAAUAUCUUAAAAUGAAAAAAGGAAAAUUUCCAAUUGGUAAAAUGUAGCUAAAUUUCAUGUUUCAUUUUGUAGUUAACAGUAUUGUCAUUUGUUUAUUUUACUAAAAUGACAUUGCAGAGUUUCCAAUUUAAGCCUAUACUUUCAGUGACUCACUAUAGAAUAAGUAAUAUUUAUUUACCAUUAGCACAUAAUGAUCUAACUGUAUCACAGUCAUUAUGCUGUGAAAAUUUUAUCAUACAAUUUUAAUUGCUGUUAAAUCUUAAGGGCUCACUACAUAAAUAUAAUUUUAAAAUAUUACACAUUCUAAAUGAAAUGUAUUAAAUGAUCACAUUAUCUCUGCCCAGAUGCUCAAAACAUAAGAAAAUAGUUUAUCAUAUCAGAAAAACAGAAAGUGAGAAUCCACUCUACAAUAAAAUGAAAAAAAAAAAAAGUUUGGAUCAUUGAAUGCCAGGGGGAAGAAAGAAAAGGAAAUGAUUAGCCUCAGAAGAUUCUAGCACAGACUUCACAGGGAGGGCAAGAGGUGAAUUUACCCUCUAUUUCCAUGUCAAAAGAAUGGAUGAAUUCUUCUUAAAAAAGUGAGAGAAGAAAAAAAAACAUGUAGAAUCCAUUAAAUGAAAUACACUCACAGUUAAUCUAGUUAAAGUCCAUGUAUUUGAAUAUCGAAAGCAAAAUCCUCCUGUUGAGCAUCAAAUAGGACGAAUUUAUCUCCCAGAAGAAAGCACAUGUAGGAAGUCUUUGGAAACUUCGUACAUAAGAAUUCUGACAAAUGUUGAAAAUAAAAAUCCUAACUCUUGUUACUUUUAUUUUAAGCUGAAAGAAUUCUUAAAAAAAAAAAAAAGUUAUGUAAAUCCCUUAAAGAAAAAAAAAAACAGCUGAAUAAAGAGAAUGGGGAUAUAGAUUGACAUUUUUGUCACUUAAUUGUUGUAAAACAGGAAUACAGUGAAAUGCACCACAAACAUUUUAUUAAGCGUUCAAAAUUAAAAACUGUUUUGAAAAAAGUAGAUAAUUAUUGAUGCUACAGGAAAUAAACUAUUUGAGGAUGAAAAAAAUAUUAACAGGCUAUUAGAAGAGGUAUAUUAUAAAUACUUAUGUGUUUAGCAAAACAAUUUGGCACUCAGAGAAUAAUCUAUACAACUGAAUGACAAUAGGAAUUUCCCCAUUUGCUAGAAACGAUAGUAAAAGUCAAUAACGUUAUGACUGACAUGCAUAAUACGAAUAUCAACAACAAAUAAUAAUAUUGUACGCUAUUUAGGGGCUGAAAUACAAAACCAAAAAUUAAGAUUAUAGCAGAUGGAAUGAAUAAGAUUAUUUAAUAAGGCGAGUAAUGCUAAUUAUCAUUCAUUUUAGAUACAAGUGGUGUGCUGAUAAACUGACCCUUUUAAAAAAGAAAAAAGAAAAAAAAAAGCCCUGAUCUGUGGCAUUUGCCAAUCACAAUGGUGUAAACACUCCUAAUAAGACUGAUUUCAAAUGUCCAAUAUUUUAACAAUUGGCUUAUAAAAUUCCUGAAUAUUUAACGGUAGGCUUUCACCAGCCCGUGCAAGCCGGCUCCUACAUUGCACAUACACAUGCAGUCAAAGCCACGCAGAACAGAUGAUAAUUGUUAGAUCUGAGAAUUUAAAAAUGCAAGUCUUGUUAUUUCUACAUGCAACUCUUUUGGGCAACUCUGCCCAGAAGGUGACAUAAGUAAAGAAGGAUUAUACAUGUAUUUUUAGUAGACCACUUACAAGAGAAAAUCUGGAAAUCUAAGAUUCAAUAAUAGAAUAAAUGGGCAUGGAAAACAUAACAAAUUGCAACAGAUGAUAUUCAAAAAUGAUAGACUAUCCCAUAUUCUGCUUUCUGUGCAUUUUUUAAACUGAGAGGAAAUGAGACAGCAAAACUCUCUCUGACAACACUCUGAAUAGCUUUUUAUAUUGCACAGACUAUACAAGUACUUUUUAGCCUCAAUGAAAAUUAAGAGUAUUGGAUACAUACUUACCAAGUAUGAGUAUUUAGCCAUUGUUGAAUUUGUGAUAGGAAAUGCAGUUGGUAACAUUAUGUUACUAGAAACACAAGUAGAAGGGAGAUAGUGGGAGGGGGGUGACUGAAAUAGGUGAUGGGGAUUUAGGGUGCACUUGUGAUGAACACCAGGUAAUGUAUGGAAGUGUGCAAUCACCAUAUUGUAUACCUGAAACUUAUACAACACUGUAUGCUAACAGUACUGAAAUUAAAAUGAAAAUUUAAAAAUUUUCAAAAUAAAAAUAAAUAAAAUGAAAUGAAAUAAAAUAAAAUAAAUAAAACUAAAAA
This is a long non-coding RNA of Acinonyx jubatus (cheetah), 3213 nucleotides long. RefSeq lists it as uncharacterized. NCBI's taxonomy places the organism in Eukaryota, Metazoa, Chordata, Mammalia, Carnivora, Felidae. The record is from RefSeq and is a predicted model, not a curated record. The transcript is spliced from 2 exons.